AUUGAACGCUGGCGGCAGGCCUAACACAUGCAAGUCGAACGAGUGGCGGACGUGUGAGUUAUGUCUGGGAAACUGCCCGAUGGAGGGGGAUCACUACUGGAAACGGUAGCUAAUACCGCAUACCCUCGGAUGUGCCCAGAUGGUUUUAGCUUGUAGGUGGGGUAACGGCGCACCUAGGCGAAGACCCCUAGCUGGUCUGAGAGGAUGACCAGCCACACUGGAACGGAGACACGGUCCAGACUCCUACGGGAGGCAGCAGUGGGGAAUAUUGCACAAUGGGCGCAAGCCUGAUGCAGCCAUGCCGCGUGUGUGAAGAAGGCCUUCGGGUUGUAAAGUACUUUCAGCGGGGAGGCGUUACUCGCAGAAGAAGCACCGGCUAACUCCGUGCCAGCAGCCGCGGUAAUAC
Molecule: ribosomal RNA, 406 nt
Filed under: uncultured bacterium
Lineage: Bacteria
Description: partial 16S ribosomal RNA
Rfam family: Bacterial small subunit ribosomal RNA
Source: RNAcentral